RNAcentral lists this non-coding RNA (149 nucleotides) under Azotobacter vinelandii. Lineage: Bacteria; Pseudomonadati; Pseudomonadota; Gammaproteobacteria; Pseudomonadales; Pseudomonadaceae. The record is from RNAcentral.
CCUGCUGUACGACCAGCAGUAGCCCAGGAAGACAGGCAUUUCUGGUAACGGAUUUGUCUGAAGCUCUUCCGGAAUGUAGCCCACCGCAAGGUGUCCGCCCGGUCGUGAGGCAGGGAUGGCGAUCCUCGAAGCAGCAUCGGGGUGAGGCG